This 253-nucleotide ribosomal RNA is filed under the name uncultured bacterium. Its description in RNAcentral is "partial 16S ribosomal RNA". It matches the Rfam family "Bacterial small subunit ribosomal RNA", at positions 524 to 776 of the family's 1533-position model. The record is from RNAcentral.
UACGUAGGGUGCAAGCGUUGUCCGGAAUUAUUGGGCGUAAAGAGCUCGUAGGCGGUUUGUCGCGUCUGCUGUGAAAACCCGAGGCUCAACCUCGGGCCUGCAGUGGGUACGGGCAGACUAGAGUGCGGUAGGGGAGAUUGGAAUUCCUGGUGUAGCGGUGGAAUGCGCAGAUAUCAGGAGGAACACCAAUGGCGAAGGCAGAUCUCUGGGCCGUAACUGACGCUGAGGAGCGAAAACAUGGGGAGCGAACAGG